This 538-nucleotide long non-coding RNA is filed under the name Cricetulus griseus (Chinese hamster). Its description in RNAcentral is "lncRNA (ENSCGRG00000024467.1)". The record is from RNAcentral. Lineage: Eukaryota; Metazoa; Chordata; Mammalia; Rodentia; Cricetidae.
CCUGGCUCCUGCCUACCUGAGCACUCAGAACAAUGGGUGGGGCCAUUAUGAUCCAUGAGUCACCAAACAGAGGAACACAGCAGUUCCCACUCAGUUCCUGUUUAAUUGUUGCCCACCCAACCAGGUGUUUCCAUCCAAGUCUCAUCUCCCUUGCAGGCUAUGGGAAAAUCUUCAACAGUUCAGCGGUUUUGAACUCCUUUCCUGUGGUGGUAGGAAUUCAGUUCUUCCAGUGGGAGAUCCUUUAUCUGCCAAAGAUCCAAAAGAGAGGAGAAGGAAAAAACAAAAUAUCCAGAGGCUGCUGCAGGAGGAGUGUGCAUGGUCUUUGCUUUAAAAUCAUUACCUCAAGGAAUGGAAAAUAAGAACAUCACCAACUCUAAUAAAAAUACUGAAUUAUUUUCUGUUAUUAAAAUGUGCAUGUUAAAAUCAGACAUUAACUUUAUAAGAUAAUAUUUUAAAACUAGAAUCUAUGCAGAGAUAGAGAUGAUUUGAUGUUAAUUACUUUAAGAUAUGUUUUUACAAUAUGGGAUGUAACAAUUCA